UGCCAGACUCCUACGGGAGGCAGCAGUAGGGAAUCUUCGGCAAUGGGGGCAACCCUGACCGAGCAACGCCGCGUGAGUGAAGAAGGUUUUCGGAUCGUAAAACUCUGUUGUUAGAGAAGAACGUUAAGUAGAGUGGAAAGUUACUUAAGUGACGGUAUCUAACCAGAAAGGGACGGCUAACUACGUGCCAGCAGCCGCGGUAAUACGUAGGUCCCGAGCGUUGUCCGGAUUUAUUGGGUUUAAAGGGUGCGUAGACGGGAUGCCAAGUCAGCGGUAAAAAUGCGGUGCUCAACGCCGUCGAGCCGUUGAAACUGGCGUUCUUGAGUGGGCGAGAAGUAUGCGGAAUGCGUGGUGUAGCGGUGAAAUGCAUAGAUAUCACGCAGAACUCCGAUUGCGAAGGCAGCAUACCGGCGCCCUACUGACGCUGAGGCACGAAAGCGUGGGUAUCGAACAGGAUUAGAUACCCUAGUA
This 471-nucleotide ribosomal RNA is filed under the name uncultured bacterium. Its description in RNAcentral is "bacterial SSU rRNA". It matches the Rfam family "Bacterial small subunit ribosomal RNA", at positions 329 to 792 of the family's 1533-position model. The record is from RNAcentral.